This 50-nucleotide transfer RNA is filed under the name Lycus arizonensis. RNAcentral's name for it is "partial tRNA-Ser". Lineage: Eukaryota; Metazoa; Arthropoda; Insecta; Coleoptera; Lycidae. The record is from RNAcentral.
AAAGAAAUACCUAAAAAAAGCUUCUAACUUUUUUAUAAGCAAUAAAUUGU